This 70-nucleotide transfer RNA is filed under the name Marmota marmota marmota (Alpine marmot). It matches the Rfam family "tRNA". Rfam says of the family: Transfer RNA (tRNA) molecules are approximately 80 nucleotides in length. Their secondary structure includes four short double-helical elements and three loops (D, anti-codon, and T loops). Further hydrogen bonds mediate the characteristic L-shaped molecular structure. tRNAs have two regions of fundamental functional importance: the anti-codon, which is responsible for specific mRNA codon recognition, and the 3' end, to which the tRNAs corresponding amino acid is attached (by aminoacyl-tRNA synthetases). tRNAs cope with the degeneracy of the genetic code in two manners: having more than one tRNA (with a specific anti-codon) for a particular amino acid; and 'wobble' base-pairing, i.e. permitting non-standard base-pairing at the 3rd anti-codon position. The record is from Rfam by way of RNAcentral. RNAcentral also lists the same sequence under 2 other names. Lineage: Eukaryota; Metazoa; Chordata; Mammalia; Rodentia; Sciuridae.
GGGGAUAUAGCUUAGUGGUAGAGCUCUUGCCUAAUAUGUAAGGCCCUGGGUUAAAUCCCCAGCAUUACAA